GGUCUUGUGGUCUAGAGGUAUGAUUCUCGCUUAGGGUGCGAGAGGCCCCGCGUUCGAAUCGCGGCAAGACCC
Molecule: transfer RNA, 72 nt
Filed under: Blumeria hordei DH14
Lineage: Eukaryota; Fungi; Ascomycota; Leotiomycetes; Helotiales; Erysiphaceae
Description: tRNA-Pro (AGG) (tRNA-Pro-AGG-3-1, tRNA-Pro-AGG-3-2)
Rfam family: tRNA
About the family: Transfer RNA (tRNA) molecules are approximately 80 nucleotides in length. Their secondary structure includes four short double-helical elements and three loops (D, anti-codon, and T loops).
Source: RNAcentral